UUUAAAAUCACUGAUUAGUCGCCUGCUUGGAAAAAGCGUUGGUAGAGUUAUUGACAGCACUCUGGGAGCACAUCUUUAGCAAAUCACAAUUUUGAAUGAAACUCUGUUGUGUUUGAUUUGUAGUUGAAUAUUAACAGAUCUGCCAAUUCUAGAAGAUUGUGCUGCUAGAGCAGCUUUGUCAUUGUUUAGGAAGCUCAGUGAAGCAAUAACAUCCCAUAAAAAAAAAUCAAAAUCAGCUGUCAGCACAGUUUGAUUGUCCUUUGGCACCCAAACACACCCGUGUCUUACUGUUCAUGCUCAAGGUUUAUAUAAUAUUUAUAUAAUAUUAAACUACAAAUGCAGUACUGUGGAAAUAUUUCAAGCACUAAAAGUAAACGGAAUAGUGUGAAGAAUAAUGCUAUGAAUAGUUUUUAUUUAUCUGCACAGUAUGUUUAAAAAAAAAAAAAAACACCUGUUAUUGGCUCAGGCCUGCAUCAACUGUUAUGGGCCAAAAGGGAGGUUUACACCCUUCACAGGUCACCAGUCUAUUGUUGGGCUAAAACAGACAGGGCAGGGAAUCAUUCACUCUCACAUUUACACCUAUUGCCAUUUUGCCAAUUAAUCUAACACAUGCGUGUGUUUGGACUGGGAGGAAGCCAAAAUACCCCGAGGCAUGAGGAGAACAUCCAAAUUCCCAUCAGAAAGGUCUCCAGCUUGUGGAUUCAAACUCAAGAUCUUCUCGCUGUGAGCACCAGCACUGCAUCCCUGUGCUGGCUCAUGCAUACCUUACAUUUCUGUCUCAUUCUUAAUUUGUACUAAAUGCCAAUUUCAUAUGUCAAAAAGUACACAGAGAGACAUCAAACUGAAUGACUCUUGGAAAUUGUGAUAACAUUAUCUUUGUUAUAUAACUAAAUGACACGUAUAGAAAUGAAGUACAAAUCCAACUAAAAAAUAGUAAUAGUUUAAAUAUUGGAAGCACAGCAGUAGCUGUUUCAAAGUAUUUAUACUUGUUAAAUUUGAGAAUCUUUUCCAUAUAUUGAAUUGUAAAUUUAGCAGAGGCUGUUAAUAGUUUUAUAACUCUUUCAGUGUUCAAAAUAACAUAAUUCUGACUGGAAAAUAAAGAAAUACCUCCAAAAAACAAAAGAAAAACACUUCCAAAAUAAAAACGGUAUGAGUGUAUAUAUAAUGAGCACAGAAUAACCUUUAAACAAUACCACUGCUGAGUUUCUAAUUCAUUAAUUAGAAAACUCAAAUUUUUUUAAUUAGAAACUUCUAAUUUAUCCCCUCCCAAUGCAGACGGUGGAUCACAGGGGACCAGCGCAUAUGCUGCAGGCCCGUAUGCGCUGUCUACACUGGCUGUCUCUCACCUUUUACCCAUCCCUGUUGCUUGUCAUGUGGUUUCUAUGACGUAUUAAGAGUUUUUCAUGUGCUGUGCGCUAAGGUGUUUUGUUUUUUUUUCUGUUCCCAAACUGAUCUCCCUGUUGGAGCUCAGUCUGGGGGGAGUUCUUUUUUUCUCCUUGUCUUUCCUGAUGUUGUGCAUUUUUCCAUUGUUCGGUUCCGGGUCGCUGCUCAUGUGGCUGACCGGCCAGCUACCUGGCCUGACCUGUCUCCCCAAUGUGAUGUUUGUGUAUUGUAUGUACGGUCGGCAAGGUCAGUCUCUUAAUUGCCCCUUGGGGAUAAAUAAAGUCUUCUGAAUCUGAAUCUAAAUUAAUGGGAACUGAAUUCCAGAAAGGCUAUGAGAGGGACAGAAUCCGUGAAAUAUUAAGUAAGAGAGACAGAUGGAGAGAUUAAAAAACAUGUCCUUCCUUCACACACCCCAGACCCACAUUACCUUCUUUUUCUACAUGGGUCAUUUGCAAAAUUACCUAACCCAAGGAUGGUGGAAUGGUCAGAAGUAAAAAGAGGAGGAUUUUUAUUUAUUUUUUUUACAUUUCAAUAUCAGUGCACACCAAGGCCUCUCACCACGCCAUUUAAAGCUACUGGAAAAUGUCAGUCAAUAGAGGCCUUAAAUGGCAGCACAUAAAGGCAGUUUGAAAUAAUUUAUAUGUAAUUUACUGUAUUCAGUGCCUCUCUGUCUGCUAGAAAUUACAUGAACUCUUUCCUCCAUCACAUGGUGGUUGCAUAUGGAUUAUGUUCAAUGGAAAUUUUUAUUUUUUUGGACAAAUGAAACAUUACUUUUAUAAAGUGAAAUCACCAAAGGGUUUUUGGAAUGGAUGGCAAUUAUAUAGGUUGGCAUCAAGACUCAUGUGAAUAGUUAAUGGUCAGGUAACAAAAGCCCUUUGCUAAUGGUGAGGGAUUUUUGUUACAUAUAUAUUAACAAGUCACUUUUGACCUCUUCUACAUUUAAGCAGACUGCAGUCU
Long non-coding RNA from Astatotilapia calliptera (eastern happy), 2340 nucleotides. The record is from Ensembl. Lineage: Eukaryota; Metazoa; Chordata; Actinopteri; Cichliformes; Cichlidae.